AUGCGGGAGUGCCGCAAGGAACGACAAGACAGGUGCUGCAUGGCUGUCGUCAGCUCGUGUCGUGAGAUGUUGGGUUAAGUCCCGCAACGAGCGCAACCCUUGUCCCUAGUUGCCAGCACGUAAUGGUGGGAACUCUAGGGAGACUGCCGGUGACAAACCGGAGGAAGGUGGGGAUGACGUCAAGUCCUCAUGGCCCUUACGGCCAGGGCUACACACGUACUACAAUGGUCGGUACAGAGGGUUGCGAAGCCGCGAGGUGGAGCCAAUCCCAGAAAACCGAUCUCAGUCCGGAUCGGAGUCUGCAACUCGACUCCGUGAAGUCGGAAUCGCUAGUAAUCGCGAAUCAGCUAUGUCGCGGUGAAUACGUUCCCGGGCCUUGUACACACCGCCCGUCACACCAUGGGAGUUGGCUGCACCAGAAGCAGGUAGUCUAACCGCAAGGAGGACGCCUACCACGGUGUGGUCAAUGACUGGGGUGAAGUCGUAACAAGGUAACCGUAA
Molecule: ribosomal RNA, 501 nt
Filed under: uncultured Lysobacteraceae bacterium
Lineage: Bacteria; Pseudomonadati; Pseudomonadota; Gammaproteobacteria; Lysobacterales; Lysobacteraceae
Description: bacterial SSU rRNA
Rfam family: Bacterial small subunit ribosomal RNA
Source: RNAcentral